AGGUGUUUUAUGCAGGCUUUGCAGUUUUCAAAGCCAUGAACAAAUCCAAAUGUGGAGGCAUCAAGGAGCCCCCUUAUCAAAGCAGAGACACCCUUUGGGGGAUAGAUACUACCAAUCAUCAGUACAUCUUUUCAUGAUGUAGAAGGAUCGAAAAAAAGAAAGAAAAGGUUGGACUCUGACUUUGAAACAGAGAACAAAAAAGUCGAUGAUGAAACAGAAGGAGUUAGGGAUGACAAAGUAAAAAGAGAGAUCAAAAAAAUGAAAGAGCUCGAUGAUGAAGAG
Molecule: long non-coding RNA, 282 nt
Filed under: Elaeis guineensis (African oil palm)
Lineage: Eukaryota; Viridiplantae; Streptophyta; Magnoliopsida; Arecales; Arecaceae
Description: long non-coding RNA (EGUI_LNC043566)
Source: RNAcentral